Molecule: ribosomal RNA, 253 nt
Filed under: uncultured bacterium
Lineage: Bacteria
Description: partial 16S ribosomal RNA
Rfam family: Bacterial small subunit ribosomal RNA
Source: RNAcentral
UACGGAGGGAGCGAGCGUUGUUCGGAAUUACUGGGCGUAAAGCGUAUGUAGGCGGCUUCGUAAGACAGAUGUGAAAUCCCAGAGCUUAACUUUGGAACUGCAUUUGUGACUGCGAGGCUGGAGUAUCGGAGAGGUUGGCGGAAUUCCUAGUGUAGAGGUGAAAUUCGCAGAUAUUAGGAGGAACACCGAUGGCGCAAGCAGCCAACUGGACGAUUACUGACGCUGAGAUACGAAAGCGUGGGGAGCAAACAGG